GUAACGGCGAGUGAAGCGGCAACAGCUCAAAUUUGAAAUCUGGUCCUUUCAGGGCCCGAGUUGUAAUUUGCAGAGGAUGCUUCGGGCACGAGUACCUACCGAGUUCCCUGGAACGGGACGCCAUAGAGGGUGAGAGCCCCGUCUGGUAGAAUACUUAGCUCAUGUGAAGCUCCCUCGACGAGUCGAGUAGUUUGGGAAUGCUGCUCUAACGGGAGGUAUACUCCUUCCAAGGCUAAAUACCGGCUGGAGACCGAUAGCGCACAAGUAGAGUGAUCGAAAGAUGAAAAGCACUUUGAAAAGAGAGUCAAAUAGCACGUGAAAUUGUUGAAAGGGAAGCGCUCGCUACCAGACUUGAGUUAGGCGGUUCAACCGGGGCCACGCCCCGGGGCACUCCACCUACUCAGGCCAGCAUCAGCUUUCUGUUGGGGGCAAAGGCGUCGGGAAUGUGGCUCUCCUUCGGGAGAGUGUUAUAGCCCGGCGUGRCAUACCCUUCGGGAGGCUGAGGUACGCGCU
This 513-nucleotide ribosomal RNA is filed under the name unidentified. RNAcentral describes it as "Acremonium sp. (in: Ascomycota) partial large subunit ribosomal RNA". The record is from RNAcentral.